UUUGUGACUUCAUUCCCUUUUGUUUGUAAAAUUAUGAGUUUGGCUCAUACAGAGAUUACGGCACAGCUCAGCCCAUAGAGAGAUUACGGUAACAUCCAUCUCUAUUAACAGGUGACUAACUUCCUGGUUUACCUGGGACUAAGCGCUCUCGCGAGAUAAGAGACUUAAUACCGCGAAACGGGGGAAAUACCAUGUUAGCCAGGAGCAUUGGGCACCUCACCAAAUAGAGACACAGAAACACUUCUGAGGAACCGGUGCACCUUGGCAUCGAACAUCAACGGCUGCACAACACUGAAAGUCAGUCAGCUGAGGGCUGUCUGUGAGGAAGAGACUCCGCACCACUUUUGCAAUGUUCUGUUAGCGAAAACAUUGAACCUAAAUAUAAAAAGGUCAGCGGCUAAUCUGUGGGAAACACAGAGGACUGUGGGAACUGAGAAGUGAUCACAUUGGAAACCUUAAGGGUCUCGGUCCAUCUGGCAGUGGUGAGUGUAUAGACCCUAAGUGGCUGGCAACAGUUUCCCUGUCUUCUCCGCUGGUGGGAAUGCUGACUUAUCCCACGACCGACCGAGCCAUGAAGAGGAGGCGUCGCCUGUGCAACCCCACAAAUACAAGGUCGGGCCUCUCCCCUCCUGCACAGGUGCCGCUCUUUGGCACAAGUAGGCCAGUGUCUGUCUCCACGGAAUUCAGAAGUUCAAAGAUCAGCGGUUCUUCCACAAUGUUGGGGGCAUCCUCAAGAGGGAGGACACAGCCUGUGCGCUCCGUGGUCUGUCAGGCCACCCACUUGGUGGGCCAGAAUGGAAAAUACAGACGGCCUGACGCAGCAAGGGUCCCUCUGUGCUCAGGUGAUACCGAGGCCCCUGUGAGAUCUCAGCAGAGCAGAACCAGCCCUGCCUUUGGCAUCAACUGGGUGUGCUGUAUCCCCUGGAGACCGGGGUGCUAACGUCUCUGGCUCUGCCUCAAGGAAUCUACAGAAACCAGAAUUCUUCCUCCCCAGGAUGUGUCCCAGAAACUAGAAAUGUUACUCCGACCUUCGCACUUUCCUGUGUAGGCGAUAUGAAUAAUAGGACCCUGAUCCCAGGAAUGUUCUGCCUUAUUCCCUGGAGGAAGGAAAGAAAGAGAAGACCGAAAUGAAUCUGAGCAGAGAGGCUAGCAUGUAUUAGCUUGUUUUCUGUUACUGUCACGGAGAUGCCAGGUACUGGGUUCUUUACAAACAAAAGAGAUUUGUGGAGCACAUGGAGUUGAGGGUUGAAAGUCCAAAUAGCAUGGCGCUGGUUCUGAUGCGGGUCCCCUUGGCUAUGUCACCAUCUCCUGGUAGGUGACAUCACAAUGGCCAUGUACUUGCCAGAGGGAAAAAUGGGGUGGUGAAGCAGGAAGCCAGACCACGGGGAACGACUCUUCUUGAAACCUUCUACCAGGGCUCUACUCUUAGAGAUCCUACCCUUUCCCUUUUCUUUUUUUCUUUUUAUGGCACUGGGGCCUUUGCAAGGAGCUGCAUCCCCUACCCUUUUUAAAAGAAAUUUAUUUUGAAAUAAGAGGCCUUGCUAAGUUGCACAGGCCAGGCUCGAACUCGUGACCCUUCCACCUCAGCCUCCCAAAGUGCAGGGAAUACAGGUGUGCCCUGUUAGGCCUGGCUACCACCGCCUCUGCACCUCAGUACCCCGGAGGCCAGGCUUUCAGUACCUGAACCUUUUGCCGGACAGCCUUAAACUAUAUCCAAACAAGAGCCUGGUGAGCGACGCAUAACUAUGACUAUGCUAAGAUCCCUGAACUGUGCCCUUUAAAAGAACGACCUCUACGAUAUGUCAAUUAAAAUUUAAUAAAACUGUAAGUAAAAUAAUACAACGUCUACAUAGGGAGCCCUUGCUGCGUGCCAGGUCCUGAGCUACGCUGUCUACCAAGGCAAACCUAAGCUCUGUCACUGAUUAAAUACAUUUUCACACUGGGUGGACCACUGCCCAGCCUCACUGUUUCAAACAUUAUUCUCAUUUAAUCUUCGCAGCGACCCACACAAUCGGCAAGCUUGUGGUCGUUUCUCUUCUGUAGAGGAAGUACUCAAAGCUCCGACAAGUUAAAAGACAUCUAUCUGACCAAAGCCACACGUCUGUAAGGGGCUUUCCUGGGAACUGGGGAGGAACAGUCCCUGUGCUUUGAAGUUGCUUUGGCAUCUCCAUGAGAGCAGCGAUCAGGAAAAAGAUCAGGAAAAGGAUGUGUGUGCCUGACGCAAAGCAGAUGACGCCCUGGAAGGCAACCCUGCCUUCUGGGCCCCACAGAGGGACAGGCACACUGAGUGACGGCAGCAAUGUGCCUUGCACACUGACUCAGUCAGCGGCAGGGUUCCGACGCUGUCUGUCCCCCCAUAGGACGCAUCAUAAGGAUGAUGACUGUGGUGCACUGAGAAAGUGAAAGAGUAAAUAAGGACUGAAAGGGAUGAGAGGUACUGGGAAUCAGGAGGAAAAUAUUCCAGUAAGAAGGAGAACAAGGGAGAGGGAGGGGGAAAGGACGGAAGGGAAAAGGAAAACGAAAAGAGAUUACAAGGAAACAAUGAAAACAAAGCUUUUACAAAUAAGAAGGUGAAUAAGGGUUGAAGGGAGGGAGGGAAAUGGGGAAAAAAGAAUCACGGAAUAUACGAACAGUUACACAUUCACCACACUGAAUGUGAUCAUGAUGUAUAUCAAAAGCCUACCAAUAAAAUUCAUUUAAAAGUUGUACGCACAUUUUUAAAAAAAGGGUCACACGUCAUAUCGGAGAAAACCCACUGGCUGGGGCUGUGAAUUCUUCCUGGAAGUCAAUUCUCUCACUGCGUGCUG
RNAcentral lists this long non-coding RNA (2807 nucleotides) under Fukomys damarensis (Damara mole-rat). RNAcentral's name for it is "lncRNA (ENSFDAG00000024283.1)". Lineage: Eukaryota; Metazoa; Chordata; Mammalia; Rodentia; Bathyergidae. The record is from RNAcentral.